GAUCGCCCCACACUGUGACUGAGACACGGGACAGACUCGUACGGGAGGCAGCAGUAGGGAAUUUUCGGCAAUGGACGAAAGUCUGAGGGAGCAACCCCGCGUGAGUGAUGAAGGCUUUCGGGUUGUAAAACUGUGUUGUUAGGGAAGAACAAGUGCUAGUUGAAUAAGCUGGCACCCCACCGUACCUAACCAGAAAGCCACGAACUAACUACGUGCCAGCAGCCGCGGUAAUACGUAGGUGGCAAGCGUUAUCCGGAAUUAUUGGGCGUAAAGCGCGCGCAGGUGGUUUCUUAAGUCUGAUGUGAAAGCCCACGGCUCAACCGUGGAGGGUCAUUGGAAACUGGGAGACUUGAGUGCAGAAGAGGAAAGUGGAAUUCCAUGUGUAGCGGUGAAAUGCGUAGAGAUAUGGAGGAACACCAGUGGCGAAGGCGACUUUCUGGUCUGUAACUGACACUGAGGCGCGAAAGCGUGGGGAGCAAACAGGAUUAGAUACCCUGGUAGUCCACGCCGUAAACGAUGAGUGCUAAGUGUUAGAGGGUUUCCGCCCUUUAGUGCUGAAGUUA
Molecule: ribosomal RNA, 563 nt
Filed under: Bacillus tropicus
Lineage: Bacteria; Bacillati; Bacillota; Bacilli; Caryophanales; Bacillaceae
Description: bacterial SSU rRNA
Rfam family: Bacterial small subunit ribosomal RNA
Source: RNAcentral